AUCAACUUUCGAUGGUAGGAUAGAGGCCUACCAUGGUGGUAACGGGUAACGGGGUGUUAGGGCACGACACCGGAGAGGGAGCCUGAGAAACGGCUACCACAUCCAAGGAUGGCAGCAGGCGCGCAAAUUACCCAAUCCCGACACGGGGAGGUAGUGACAAUAAAUAACAAUACGGGGCUCUUUCGGGUCUCGUAAUUGGAAUGAGUACAAUUUAAAUCCCUUAACGAGGAGCAAUUGGAGGGCAAGUCUGGUGCCAGCAGCCGCGGUAAUUCCAGCUCCAAUAGCGUAUAUUAAAGUUGUUGCAGUUAAAAAGCUCGUAGUUGAAUUUCGGGAUUGGCGCAUCGGUCGUGCCUCACGGGGUAUGAACUGGUGCAGUCAAUUUCUCACCUUCUGGAGAACCGCGAUGUCCUUAAUUGGAUGCCGCGGGGAACCAGGACCUUUACUUUGAAAAAAUUAGAGUGUUUAAAGCAGGCAUUUUUGCUUGAAUACAUUAGCAUGGAAUAAUAAAAUAGGACGGCAUGGUUCUAUUUUGUUGGUUUCUAGGACCACCGUAAUGAUUAAUAGGGAUAGUUGGGGGCAUUAGUAUUCAAUUGUCAGAGGUGAAAUUCUUGGAUUUAUUGAAGACUAACUACUGCGAAAGUAUUUGCCAAGGAUGUUUUCAUUAAUCAAGAACGAAAGUUAGGGGAUCGAAGACGAUCAGAUACCGUCGUAGUCUUAACCAUAAACUAUGCCGACUAGGAAUCAGACGAUGUUAAUUUUUUAAUGACUCGUUUGGCACCUUACGGGAAACCAAAGUGUUUGGGUUA
Molecule: ribosomal RNA, 806 nt
Filed under: uncultured Glomus
Lineage: Eukaryota; Fungi; Glomeromycota; Glomeromycetes; Glomerales; Glomeraceae
Description: SSU rRNA
Rfam family: Eukaryotic small subunit ribosomal RNA
Source: RNAcentral